UCAGGACGAACGCUGGCGGCGUGCCUAAUACAUGCAAGUCGAGCGGACUAAUGGGAGCUUGCUCCCGUUAGUUAGCGGCGGACGGGUGAGUAACACGUGGGCAACCUACCUGUAAGACUGGGAUAACUUCGGGAAACCGGAGCUAAUACCGGAUGACAUAAAGGAACUCCUGUUCCUUUAUUGAAAGAUGGCUUCGGCUAUCACUUACAGAUGGGCCCGCGGCGCAUUAGCUAGUUGGUGAGGUAACGGCUCACCAAGGCGACGAUGCGUAGCCGACCUGAGAGGGUGAUCGGCCACACUGGGACUGAGACACGGCCCAGACUCCUACGGGAGGCAGCAGUAGGGAAUCUUCCGCAAUGGACGAAAGUCUGACGGAGCAACGCCGCGUGAGCGAUGAAGGCCUUCGGGUCGUAAAGCUCUGUUGUUAGGGAAGAAUAAGUGCUAGUUGAAUAAGCUGGCACCUUGACGGUACCUAACCAGAAAGCCACGGCUAACUACGUGCCAGCAGCCGCGGUAAUACGUAGGUGGCAAGCGUUGUCCGGAAUUAUUGGGCGUAAAGCGCGCGCAGGCGGUUUCUUAAGUCUGAUGUGAAAGCCCCCGGCUCAACCGGGGAGGGUCAUUGGAAACUGGGAAACUUGAGUGCAGAAGAGGAAAGUGGAAUUCCAAGUGUAGCGGUGAAAUGCGUAGAGAUUUGGAGGAACACCAGUGGCGAAGGCGACUUUCUGGUCUG
Molecule: ribosomal RNA, 730 nt
Filed under: Bacillus sp. P3706
Lineage: Bacteria; Bacillati; Bacillota; Bacilli; Caryophanales; Bacillaceae
Description: bacterial SSU rRNA
Rfam family: Bacterial small subunit ribosomal RNA
Source: RNAcentral